GUCUACGGCCAUACCACCCUGAAUGCGCCUGAUCUCGUCUGAUCUCGGAAGCUAAGCAGGGUCGGGCCUGGUUAGUACUUGGAUGGGAGAAUCCUGCCUAGCAUUUUCUUAAAUCAAAGAAGCUUCUGUAAAGC
RNAcentral lists this ribosomal RNA (134 nucleotides) under Neogale vison (American mink). The record is from RNAcentral. Lineage: Eukaryota; Metazoa; Chordata; Mammalia; Carnivora; Mustelidae.